GAUUUCUGGUACGGCGCACUUGGCCCGCCGAGGUUUUCUCGGUUUCGUGUGCCGGUGUGCGCCUGCCAUCCUUCUGGGGAACGGCUCUGCCCUUCACUGGGUUUGGGUUCGGUGCUCCAGAUCGUUUACUUUGAAAAAAUUAGAGUGUUUAAAGCAGGCUUGCGCUAUGAAUACAUUAGCAUGGAAUAAUAAUUUAGGACUUUGGUCUUAUUUUGUUGGUUUCUAGGACUAAAGUAAUGAUUGAUAGGGAUAGUUGGGGGUGCUAGUAUUCAGCGGCCAGAGGUGAAAUUCUUGGAUUCGCUGAAGACUAACUUAUGCGAAAGCAUU
This 327-nucleotide ribosomal RNA is filed under the name Cercomonas sp. Its description in RNAcentral is "SSU rRNA". The stretch from base 85 to 327 matches the Rfam family "Eukaryotic small subunit ribosomal RNA", at positions 711 to 955 of the family's 1831-position model. Lineage: Eukaryota; Cercozoa; Cercomonadida; Cercomonadidae. The record is from RNAcentral.